CUUCCGAUGGCGACCGGCGCACGGGUGAGUAACACGUAUCCAACCUGCCGAUAACUCGGGGAUAGCCUUUCGAAAAGAAAGAUUAAUAUCCGAUAGGAUAUCAAGGUCGCAUGAUCUUGAUAUUAAAGAAUUUCGGUUAUCGAUGGGGAUGCGUUCCAUUAGUUAGUUGGCGGGUAACGGCCCACCAAGACGACGAUGGAUAGGGGUUCUGAGAGGAAGGUCCCCCACAUUGGAACUGAGACACGGUCCAAACUCCUACGGGAGGCAGCAG
Molecule: ribosomal RNA, 271 nt
Filed under: uncultured bacterium
Lineage: Bacteria
Description: partial 16S ribosomal RNA
Rfam family: Bacterial small subunit ribosomal RNA
Source: RNAcentral